Molecule: long non-coding RNA, 354 nt
Organism: Haliotis rubra (blacklip abalone)
Lineage: Eukaryota; Metazoa; Mollusca; Gastropoda; Lepetellida; Haliotidae
Exons: 3
Source: RefSeq, a predicted model, not a curated record
UGUUCACCACACAGCACAAUGACGUAAGCCCUUCCCCACCUACGUUCUUUUGUCUUUAUAGCCAGCUUGGGCAAUCAGCUAAGCUUUACACUUUUACACAUUACAAGGUUUGUGGUCACUCCACAUUCAAUCGUCAGAUGAGCAACAUUCCAUGUGGAUUUUCUUAACAUAUAUUUGGAUCACAUUCUAAGGCGAACAUUUAAUACAGAUACAGCAGCGUCCCCAGGUGUGAAAUAAACCUAGGCCCACACACCUGGGUUGUUGUUUUCACCUAUAAACAUCUCCAAUAAAACAUCGGCCAUUGAAGAACAACAAAAGUAGCGUCUGUUGUCUGUGCGUGACUGACGCAGUCCU